This 478-nucleotide ribosomal RNA is filed under the name uncultured bacterium. RNAcentral describes it as "partial 16S ribosomal RNA". It matches the Rfam family "Bacterial small subunit ribosomal RNA", at positions 28 to 523 of the family's 1533-position model. The record is from RNAcentral.
GACGAACGCUGGCUGCGUGCUUAACACAUGCAAGUCGAACGGUAAGGCCCUUCGGGGUACACGAGUGGCGAACGGGUGAGUAACACGUGGGUGAUCUGCCCUGCACUUCGGGAUAAGCCUGGGAAACUGGGUCUAAUACCGGAUAGGACCACUGCCUGCAUGGGUGGUGGUGGAAAGCUUUUGCGGUGUGGGAUGGGCCCGCGGCCUAUCAGCUUGUUGGUGGGGUGAUGGCCUACCAAGGCGACGACGGGUAGCCGGCCUGAGAGGGUGACCGGCCACACUGGGACUGAGAUACUGCCCAGACUCCUACGGGAGGCAGCAGUGGGGAAUAUUGCACAAUGGGCGCAAGCCUGAUGCAGCGACGCCGCGUGAGGGAUGACGGCCUUCGGGUUGUAAACCUCUUUCAGCACCGACGAAGCGCAAGUGACGGUAGGUGCAGAAGAAGGACCGGCCAACUACGUGCCAGCCGCCGCCGUAA